UUCCAUUAUUCUCAGCAGUUCUGCAAUGAGAAAGCUGAAAGACGGGAAGACAUCGGUGGCAGGAGUGUGGAGGAGGUGACGGUGGAAGUAAAAGCAGGAGGCAGAAAGAGCAAUCAGCAUCCAGCUAUGGUUCAGGGCCAGGGAAGCUGGGCUGGAGGAAGCUGUCUGGGAACCCAGGAGGCAAGCAGAAAACCGCCAGGACCGCCCCACGCUGGGGGAGCAGCAGGCACGGCCCCUACCAACACCCCCUGGCACCUCGCAAAGCUAGAGCCCGCCCGGUCCCCUCCCCGGAGCGCCCUGGUCUUUGGUUGGUAUUCAGCACAUCUUCAGAAACAGUGAUAGAAAAAUGCUGGUUUCUGACUCCAACAGAGAUGCCAGCUCACGGAGGAAAAUCUGGAAGGUGUUGAAGCAUAGACGCUGGAACAUAAAAUGACUCAUGAUCUCACUGGGAGAAGGGCUGGGAACAUCGUGGGCUCUCUUCUCCCCGCGCUCCUCUCUCCGGGUCUCUGUUUCCCUCAUUCCACGAUGUUAGUGAG
RNAcentral lists this long non-coding RNA (536 nucleotides) under Pan troglodytes (chimpanzee). Its description in RNAcentral is "long non-coding RNA NONPTRT005192". Lineage: Eukaryota; Metazoa; Chordata; Mammalia; Primates; Hominidae. The record is from RNAcentral.